ACGCGAAAGCGGCCUUCGGGCCGCGAGUAGAGUGGCAAACGGGUGAGUAACGCGUGGGUGACCUACCUUCGAGUGGGGGAUAACCUUCCGAAAGGAAGGCUAAUACCGCAUGACGUCCCGCCCUUGGACGGGCGGUGACCAAAGCCGGGGAUCUUCGGACCCGGUGCUUGUUGACGGACCCGCGUCCGAUUAGCUUGUUGGUAGGGUAGCGGCCUACCAAGGCUGCGAUCGGUAGCCGGCCUGAGAGGGCGGACGGCCACACUGGGACUGAGAUACGGCCCAGACUUCUACGGGAGGCAGCAGUAGGGAAUUGUUCGCAAUGGGCGAAAGCCUGACGACGCAACGCCGCGUGGAGGACGAAAACCUUCGGGUCGUAAACUCCUGUCGAGCGGGAAGAACCGUCCGCGGGUCAAUACCCCGCGGGCCUGACGGUACCGCUAAAGGAAGCCCCGGCUAACUCCGUGCCAGCAGCCGCGGUAAUACGGGGGGGGCAAGCGUUGUUCGGAUUUACUGGGCGUAAAGGGCUCGUAGGCUGCCGUUCAAGUCGGUUGUGAAAUCCCCAGGCUC
This 567-nucleotide ribosomal RNA is filed under the name uncultured bacterium. RNAcentral's name for it is "bacterial SSU rRNA". It matches the Rfam family "Bacterial small subunit ribosomal RNA", at positions 66 to 610 of the family's 1533-position model. The record is from RNAcentral.